This 80-nucleotide non-coding RNA is filed under the name Pseudobutyrivibrio sp. OR37. Lineage: Bacteria; Bacillati; Bacillota; Clostridia; Lachnospirales; Lachnospiraceae. The record is from RNAcentral.
AACCGCCGUGUACCGAACGGUACGCACGGUGGUGUGAGAGGUCGGAAAUUCUCAGCAGAGAGAAUUUCCUCCUACUCGAU